GACAGAGGGUGCAAACGUUGUUCGGAAUUACUGGACGUAAAGCGCGUGUAGGCGGCCCUGCAAGUCGGAUGUGAAAUCCCACGGCUCAACCGUGGAAGUGCAUUCGAAACUGCAGGGCUAGAGUCCUGGAGAGGAAGGUGGAAUGCUUGGUGUAGAGGUGAAAUUCGUAGAUAUCAAGCGGAACACCGGUGGCGAAGGCGGCCUUCUGGACAGUGACUGACGCUGAGACGCGAAAGCGUGGGGAGCAAACAGG
This 253-nucleotide ribosomal RNA is filed under the name uncultured bacterium. RNAcentral's name for it is "partial 16S ribosomal RNA". It matches the Rfam family "Bacterial small subunit ribosomal RNA", at positions 524 to 776 of the family's 1533-position model. The record is from RNAcentral.